GGGCGAUUAGCUCAGGGGAUAGAGUGCUGGCCUCCGAAGCCAGAGGUCGCGGGUUCGAAUCCCGCAUCGCCCGCCA
Molecule: transfer RNA, 76 nt
Filed under: Candidatus Dadabacteria bacterium
Lineage: Bacteria; Pseudomonadati; Thermodesulfobacteriota; Candidatus Dadabacteria
Also listed under: 2 other names
Description: tRNA-Arg
Rfam family: tRNA
About the family: Transfer RNA (tRNA) molecules are approximately 80 nucleotides in length. Their secondary structure includes four short double-helical elements and three loops (D, anti-codon, and T loops). Further hydrogen bonds mediate the characteristic L-shaped molecular structure. tRNAs have two regions of fundamental functional importance: the anti-codon, which is responsible for specific mRNA codon recognition, and the 3' end, to which the tRNAs corresponding amino acid is attached (by aminoacyl-tRNA synthetases). tRNAs cope with the degeneracy of the genetic code in two manners: having more than one tRNA (with a specific anti-codon) for a particular amino acid; and 'wobble' base-pairing, i.e. permitting non-standard base-pairing at the 3rd anti-codon position.
Source: RNAcentral